CACAGUUAUGCAGCGAUAGAGAGACGACAUACAUCGUGUGCAUGUUCUCGGCAGCUGAGUUGAGCUGAACAUUCUGUGUUGGUCACUUGGGUUAAAACAACCGAUCGACCAUGUUUGGGAUGAACGUGCUUGCGUUUUGUGUGCUCCUGUGUGCUACCAGCUGCUCAGCUGAAAACACUGUAAGAUCAACAAAAAGGACUCUUCAACCUUGGUUGAUUGGUGUGUCAGCUGCCGUUGGCUUCCUGGUCAUUGUCUUUAUUCUCCUGAUUGGAAAAAAACUACUAAGUAUAAAAAGGGAAACAGAGGAGAAACGAGGCUAUGAAUUGACCCAAAAGCUGGACCUGGACGUCUAUGAAACCAAUCUGUAGAAACUCAUCUGCUUUUUAGAAAACUACUGUGCCCACGCAGUGACCAGUCCAAUAGUGAUGCACAUUUUCAACAGAGAAAAUGGCUGAAUUUAAUUUACACUAUCAUCCUAUGUAAUGAGGACUCCUUUUCUAAGUCAUCUUUUUUUACAAGUUAUAAAAUCUGGCUAAAACAGAAAGACUUUAUAGACAGUGUAUAUAGUACAGUAACAUCACAAAUGUUCCUCUUCAGGUUCACAAUUAUGUGAAGUCACCAAGAAUGUAAACAAAUAUAUUAAAAAUAUAAGUACAAUGUGGAGUUGGGUUGACAUGAUAUUUUUAACUAACCUUUGAUUGCUUGCACUGCUAUUUUCUCUGAGAAAAAAGUGUUGCCAUUUGGAAAUAUUUUCAUUUUGAAAAUGACGAGUUGAAAAAGUUGAAUUCUUAGAGGUAGGGUCAAAAUGAUCUAUACUCCUUGUAGGUUUAGGUAGGCAUCUAAAGACUGAAUGUGAUACUAAUGUGUUGAUUGAUCUAGCCAGAGUCCCCACUUAUCUAUGAUAAUGAAGUUUUGGAAGGAGCUAAAUUUAAUGGCAAGGAGACGUUCUAACCUCAAUGACUUGGACCUUAUUAAAAAGACGAAUGGUUAAAAAUGCAAAAAGGCUGCAUCUAAGUACAAAUGUUAGUUUGUUGCAACGCAAAGCAAGACUGGAGAAGGAUAUAAAUAAUUUUCAACCUGUCAUUUUUGUUCAAAUGUAAAUAAAAACAGACUUUCCAAAAAUAA
Long non-coding RNA from Xiphophorus maculatus (southern platyfish), 1125 nucleotides. RefSeq lists it as uncharacterized. The transcript is spliced from 3 exons. The record is from RefSeq and is a predicted model, not a curated record. Lineage: Eukaryota; Metazoa; Chordata; Actinopteri; Cyprinodontiformes; Poeciliidae.